GCUGAACUUAAGCAUAUCAAUAAGCGGAGGAGAAGAAACUAACAAGGAUUCCCCUAGUAACGGCGAGCGAAGCGGGAAGAGCUCAAAUUUCUUCGGUGUCCGCGUUGUAAUCUCGAGACGUGUUUUCCGUGUGGCGCUAUGGACAAGUCCCUUGGAACAGGGCAUCGUAGAGGGUGAAAAUCCCGUACUUGCCAUGGCUGUACCAUGCUUUGUGAUACACGCUCUAAGAGUCGAGUUGUUUGGGAUUGCAGCUCAAAAUGGGUGGUAGACUCCAUCUAAAGCUAAAUAUCGGGGAGAGACCGAUAGCGAACAAGUACCGUGAGGGAAAGAUGAAAAGCACUUUGGAAAGAGAGUUAAAAGUACGUGAAAUUGUCGAAAGGGAAGCGCUUGAAGUCAGCCAUGCUGCUUGAGACUCAGCCUUGCUUUUGCUUGGUGUAUUUCUCGGUAGCAAGCCAGCAUUGGUUCGAGUCGUCGGAGAAGGGUAUGAGAAAUGUGGCAUCCUCGGAUGUGUUAUAGACUUGUACUGGAUACGACGAUUUGGAUCAAGGAACGCAGUGUGCCUCUGGCGGGUCUUCGGACACCUUCACACUUAGGAUGCUGGCGUAAUGGCUU
RNAcentral lists this ribosomal RNA (612 nucleotides) under Malassezia pachydermatis. RNAcentral's name for it is "eukaryotic LSU rRNA". It matches the Rfam family "Eukaryotic large subunit ribosomal RNA", at positions 27 to 640 of the family's 3401-position model. Lineage: Eukaryota; Fungi; Basidiomycota; Malasseziomycetes; Malasseziales; Malasseziaceae. The record is from RNAcentral.